Schistosoma rodhaini is the source of this 45-nucleotide non-coding RNA. Lineage: Eukaryota; Metazoa; Platyhelminthes; Trematoda; Strigeidida; Schistosomatidae. The record is from Rfam.
AUCCUGCUGAUUAGUCCUAAAUAGGACGAAAUGCGCGUCAUGGAU